UCCCUUUUAUCCAUAACGUGUAUCCCCCCUUGGCAUUUGAUGACCAUGGGAUACUAUCUCAUCUCAUUAGGGUCGACCCUUAGCGUGUGUACAUGCGCUACGCGUUAUAUCUCAAUCCCGACGGAGGUCCAUGAUACCUACAGGUAUUUAAAUAUUAGAGUUUUGUUUUUGUUUUUUUUUUUUUAACUAUUUUCUAUAAAAUUUAGUUUUAUAUUAUAAGGAUCUAUAAUGAUUAUGAAUGUUAAAAUUUAUGUAGACUAAGUUUGACUUAGGGGGAAAAGAUCAUUCAAAAUGGAUUUUUAACUCAGUCUAUUCAAAGUGGAGAAAUUACAAAAGUGAUUUAAAGGCACUUAAUUUGAAUGACAACAAGUCUCCCAUGGAGUUAUUAAGGAAUGUACCAGAAACUGUGAAUGUUGACAAAUGUGUUAGUCUUAUGCAAUUUUGGUACUUAGAAGAAGGGAAGGUAAUACUUUAAAUUUGUUAUGGAGGUAAUACUUUAAAUGUGUUGUGGUUUUGUGUGAAUGCGUUUUUUCUUUUAUAUAUGAGUAUUACUAUAUUUCAUUGGUCAACAAAGUUUUAGUAAAAUUGUAACACUGAAAUAAUAUGAGUGGUAUGCUUGUAAUAAUCUUUUGACUAUGUUAUGUGUAUGCUUAUAGAAACGUAGCACAAAAAAUAAGGCGAAUCGAAAGAAUCAAGGUGUACCCCAUACUAUGGGUCAAAAAAGUUUUACAAGAAUUCAUGAUGAGAAGGUAAUUAUUGAUAAGAUUGUAACUAAAAAAUGAAAUGGUUUUGUUAUUCAUUUCUAUUUUGGUAUGAAGUUUCUAAUUAUGACAUUUAUAAUAUGAAAAUAGCAUAAAGAAAUUGGAGUGGAGCUAGACCGUGUAGACUUAUAUAUAAUUACUUAUAAACGCAGAGACGGGGAUCCUGUAGAUGACAUUGCAUGAGCUAUGAUUGUAUGUAUUAUUUAUAUUUUUUAAUUAAAAUAAUAUUCAAAUAUUAUCUUUUAAAUAUAAUCAUACUUAUUUAAAGUAACAUACUUGUUUGUAAAUUGCAAGAUAAAAUUGAGAGAAAAAAAUCAGGAUCCAGUACCUCCCAAAACACGAGUGAGAAUAUCACUUGGGAUAAUGACAUUUUUCCUCAAGUGAAGAAAAAAGAUAAACGUGGACGUGUUUUUGGGUUAGGAUUGCUUCCUACAACUUUUUCAGCUUAUUGUUUCCCUGGAGAAAUUGGGACAAGUUCUGAACAUGAUAAAAGGGUGCUUUCAACGAAAAAUAAAGUUGAUACGAUGCAAACCUUAAUUGAAAAACUUGUGUCAACCAUUCAAGAUUUACGUCAUGAGUUUGAUAUGGAAGAUUGUACACUCCCUCCUUCACAGUCAAUGGAACAGGUACUCUGUACUUUUAAUGGUCAAAAUGAGUCACCACAACAAGGAAAUAACUCAGAAACUCAAAUAUAGAGCUUGGGAGGCUUGGGCUCAAAGAAGGAGCACUUAAAAACUAGUGGAGUUUGAUAGUUUUUUUUUUUUUUUUUACCAUACAAUUUGAAUUCUGAAAGUAUGAUGGAGUUUAAUUUUUUUAUAUAAGAUUGUAGAAUUUUUUAUUUUGGAUACAAUUGAUUGGGAUGAUGA
Molecule: long non-coding RNA, 1627 nt
Organism: Macadamia integrifolia
Lineage: Eukaryota; Viridiplantae; Streptophyta; Magnoliopsida; Proteales; Proteaceae
Exons: 3
Source: RefSeq, a predicted model, not a curated record